GCUCAAAUUUUGAAUCUGGCGGUCGUUGAGGCCGUCCGAGUUGUAAUCUAGAGAAGCGUCUUCCGCGCUGGACCGUGUACAAGUCUCCUGGAAGGGAGCGUCAUAGAGGGUGAGAAUCCCGUCUUUGACACGGACUGCCAGUGCUAUGUGAUGCGCUCUCGACGAGUCGAGUUGUUUGUGAAUGCAGCUCAAAAUGGGUGGUAAAUUCCAUCUAAAGCUAAAUAUGGGCGAGAGACCGAUAGCGAACAAGUACCGUGAGGGAAAGACGAAAAGAACUUUGGAAAGAGAGUUAAACAGUACGUGAAAUUGCUGAAAGGGAAACGCUUGAUGUCAGUCGCGUUCGCCAGGGAUCAACCUAGCUUCAUCGCUCGGUGCAUUUCUUGGUGGAAC
RNAcentral lists this ribosomal RNA (390 nucleotides) under Phylloporus brunneiceps. Its description in RNAcentral is "partial large subunit ribosomal RNA". It matches the Rfam family "Eukaryotic large subunit ribosomal RNA", at positions 107 to 496 of the family's 3401-position model. The record is from RNAcentral. Lineage: Eukaryota; Fungi; Basidiomycota; Agaricomycetes; Boletales; Boletaceae.